GGAGAAGAUAAAAUGUCUGCCCGGUUUUUGGAGUGCAUUUUUUUUCAAAAGAAUGUCAUGAUAUUGCAAUCACGAUUUCAGUAGAUCAAGCCACUCCAAAAUACCGGAAGGAAAGUCCGAACACCACAGGGCAGGAUACUUUCUAACGGAAAGUCCCGGUGACGGGGAGAAAGCUCCACAGAAAUAAACUACCCGACCACUACUUUGAACUCUGAAACCAGUUUUCAAAAUAGUGGUCAGGAAAAGGUGAAAUGGUAGUGUAAGAGACUACCGGUUUCCGGUGUGAAUCGGAAAGCCCGGAAUGCCUUAUCCGGUGCAAUGCCAAAUAGGAGAACAGGUUUGCCCGACCGGAUUGUUCUCGGGUGGGCAGCUAAAACCGGUCCAUUAAAUGGAUCUCUUUUGAGAAUAGCAAUAUCCGGUUUAGAGAAAUAGACAUUGGAUUACCUGUUAGGUAAUUUACAGAAUUCGGCUUAAUAUCUUCUCCGGUG
RNAcentral lists this RNase P RNA (488 nucleotides) under Candidatus Cloacimonadota bacterium. RNAcentral's name for it is "Candidatus Cloacimonetes bacterium (marine metagenome) RNase P RNA component class A". It matches the Rfam family "Bacterial RNase P class A". From Rfam's summary of the family: Ribonuclease P (RNase P) is a ubiquitous endoribonuclease, found in archaea, bacteria and eukarya as well as chloroplasts and mitochondria. Lineage: Bacteria; Pseudomonadati; Candidatus Cloacimonadota. The record is from RNAcentral.